Molecule: ribosomal RNA, 545 nt
Filed under: Phrontis versicolor
Lineage: Eukaryota; Metazoa; Mollusca; Gastropoda; Neogastropoda; Nassariidae
Description: partial 12S ribosomal RNA
Source: RNAcentral
GUAUAUCACGUGAGUAAGUUAUAUUCUUAGGUAAAAAGACAGUUAGCUUAUUAAAAUUUUAGUUUAUUGACCAUUUAUAUAAAAGUAAAAUUUGGAUAUAAAUAGCUAAUUUAAUAAUAACUAUAUUAUGCUGAAGCUGUGAUAGUCUUGAGGGAAACUGGGAUUAGAUACCCCAUUAUUCUUGAUUGUAAAUAUAAAUUAAAUUUACCAGAGUACUAUGAAUAGUUUAAAAAUUUAAAACUCAAAGGGCUUGGCGGUGUUUUAGACCCAUCAGGGGAACCUGUCUCGUAAUCGACAAUCCACGUUGUACCUAACCCUAUUUUGUAUUCAGUUUGUAUACCGUCGUCGUCAGGUAACUUUUAAAAAUAAAGAAGUUAGCAAUAUAAAUUUAUAAGUUAAAACGUCAGAUCAAGGUGCAGCUUAUAAUAGGGAGAGGAUGGGUUACAAUUAUAAAAAUUAUAACUACGGAAAUUUAAACGAAAUUUUAUUUUGAAGGAGGACUUGAAAGUAAACUAAAGUACAUAAGUAGAUUGAAUGAGGCUCUG